This is a long non-coding RNA of Argiope bruennichi, 630 nucleotides long. RefSeq lists it as uncharacterized. The record is from RefSeq and is a predicted model, not a curated record. The transcript is spliced from 3 exons. Lineage: Eukaryota; Metazoa; Arthropoda; Arachnida; Araneae; Araneidae.
GGUGACUUGUAGUAACAGAAAUUCAAGGCCAGGUAAAUUCCUAUAUUACAAAAUAUGUUAAAUUGCAUGGCAUUUUCAAAUCGCCUUAUUUGUUCUUUCAGAAGGCAAAUUUUCCAAAUGUUGUAAAGAAGAAAAAUGUUCUAGACACAUUCUUCAAAAUAGUUACAGCACAUUCAACUACCUCAACACGGAUAAAUUCAAGCACGUGUCAUCCCGAGAUCAUAUUCUUUGUAUAUAGGGACAGAAUUAAUCUGAAAUAUGAGUUUGUCAGCGUGUGACAUCCAUGAGCAAGAUCGUCUUCAAUAGGACAGCGUUCGGCUAGGAAUCGCAAGGAGCUGAAAUGUUUCAGAAUAAAGACAUGCCAUCCACCAUCAGAAGACUGUCUACAUUUUCAACUCCUUGAUGAAUUGACAAUAUAUACAGGAUACAGAAAAUAUUAUAGAUGACGUAGAAAUAGAAAUACAAAUACACCUAUGAUGCAGUUUCAAGCCAUAUCGACACGUAUCGUUGGGAUCAACUUAUCCAUGUAAGGGUAGAAUUGAUCGGUCGCCUGAGAAUGCUACAAUCGCCUACACGCCGUUGCCUUCCAACCAAGUACCUCUUCAGAUGGUGAAACUGAUGGGAUAAGGA